GCUAACGCGUUAAGUCGACCGCCUGGGGAGUACGGCCGCAAGGUUAAAACUCAAAUGAAUUGACGGGGGCCCGCACAAGCGGUGGAGCAUGUGGUUUAAUUCGAUGCAACGCGAAGAACCUUACCUGGCCUUGACAUCCACGGAAUUCGGCAGAGAUGCCUUAGUGCCUUCGGGAACCGUGAGACAGGUGCUGCAUGGCUGUCGUCAGCUCGUGUUGUGAAAUGUUGGGUUAAGUCCCGCAACGAGCGCAACCCUUAUCCUUUGUUGCCAGCGAGUAAUGUCGGGAACUCAAAGGAGACUGCCGGUGACAAACCGGAGGAAGGUGGGGAUGACGUCAAGUCAUCAUGGCCCUUACGGCCAGGGCUACACACGUGCUACAAUGGCGCAUACAAAGAGAAGCGAACUCGCGAGAGCAAGCGGACCUCACAAAGUGCGUCGUAGUCCGGAUCGGAGUCUGCAACUCGACUCCGUGAAGUCGGAAUCUCUAGUAAUCGUAGAUCAGAAUGCUACGGUGAAUACGUUCCCGGGCCUUGUACACACCGCCCGUCACACCAUGGGAGUGGGUUGCAAAAGAAGUAGGUAGCUAACCUU
Molecule: ribosomal RNA, 591 nt
Filed under: Erwinia sp. T4MS11P
Lineage: Bacteria; Pseudomonadati; Pseudomonadota; Gammaproteobacteria; Enterobacterales; Erwiniaceae
Description: bacterial SSU rRNA
Rfam family: Bacterial small subunit ribosomal RNA
Source: RNAcentral